This is a non-coding RNA of Pelobates cultripes (western spadefoot toad), 741 nucleotides long. NCBI's taxonomy places the organism in Eukaryota, Metazoa, Chordata, Amphibia, Anura, Pelobatidae. The record is from the annotation of a GenBank genome assembly.
CUUUAAUUCACAAUUUAGCCCCUGGGUAAUAGUGUAAAUAUUGUUAAAAAAAAAUAAAAUAUGCAUCAGCCUGUGCUAAACAAUCUGAAUGUUAUUUUAACUUAUAGUUUUUUUUUUUGUUUUUUUUAUAUUUAACUAAAAGAAUAGUUUUGGGGAUCAAAUUUACCAUAUUAACAUUGCCAUUUCUUAAACGUUGCAGAAGAUUUUCUGAACCGCCAAUAUGUUACAUAUGCACAGAUGUGUUAUUUACAUACCCAGAGGGAACAUGCCAAUAUUUAUUCACGUUGUUAUAUAAUAUUUUAAUAGAUGACUACAACUCCCCUCGCAUCCCCCCCGCCCCCCAGCAAUGAACACAAUACAUUAACAAGUGAAAUAAUGUAAAAUGGAAAAUGUAUUAAAACAAUAAGUAAAAUAAUCAAAACUAGCAUUAUCUACAUUAUGGAAUGUCUGAAAUGUUGGCAUGUUUUCUCUUUGUACUCAAGCUUCUUAGUAAUAUAGACACGACUUAUAGCAACAGUUCAUGUUACUUUAACUGCUAUAUUCAUGAUCAAAUAAACUAUUUACACUACUACAUGGUAAUACAUCAUUUAUUUAAUUGUGAUUGUAAUUUACACAGGGAUAGAGAGAAAUUGAGGGUUGCAAAUGGAUGAAAAAAAAGCAUUUUAUUUUUCUAUGCUGUACUAUAUGUGUAUCUUUCCAAAAAACAAUAUAACUACACCGAUAUAGAAGAAAAAAUUGUGG